GUCCGUGCCAUUCGCGCUCGCCUCUUCGCCGAAUUCGGUUUCCGACCGGCGGUAGUCCCGUCAGCGCGGCGCGACGCGCACGUCGCCGGACGCUCGUCCGUCCCCGCGGCGUCGACGGCUGCGCGUGUACCUAACGUGUGUGUGUGUGUGUAUAGGUAUAUGGCGGGCGCCCUCGUCGGUCGCGUUUCGCCGGCACCGCCACCACCACGUCGCCGACCGGGCGCACGCGCGAUAUAGUAUUACUAUUACUAUUAUUAUUAUCAUCAUCAACAUUAUUGUUGUUGUCGUUAUUGCAAUACCUAUAUAUACAUAACGCCGCAGCUGUCGACGACACACGACUCGCGACGCGGACCGAACGCCGUCGCCGCACACAUGUAAUAACAACAAUAUAAUAUAUUCAAUAGUAUUAAUAUUAUCACAUAAAUUUAUAAGUAUAAUUAUAUGCCAUCGUUUUACCCGCCGCCGAGGUGGUUUUCGUUUUAAUUCGCGUCCAAGCAAUAUAGUUAUACGGUAUCACUCGCAAUCACUGUAAAACCAAAACCACGUAGGUACACACACACACACACACACAUACACAUCACACAAACUCACGGGCGCGCGGAAGUCCGUUACGGUUUUAGGCCGCGUUCACGUGCCUAAUACGUAUAUAUUUUUAUAUAUAUAUAAGAAAAUGCUUCAUUUUACCGUGAUUCAAGAUCAAGUUUAAGAUUUAUAUCAACUACCAAGUGCAAGUACAUAAUUUAGCGAUACGCACACACUCGUUAAUGCGUGCAUAAUAUACAUGACGUAUAUAAUGAUAUCCGUCCGUGGUGUACCUAUACGUGUUUGUAGUUUGUAUAUUACAUGCGACGACGGCAUCGCUUCCUGUUGAAGUUUGUGCGAUGUCAAUAAGCUGUGCUUUCGAAAUUUGAACCUACUUCCGGUCUACCGCCGAACAUAUAUUAUUGAAACCUGAGAAACCAACAUAUAAUCGAAAAUAUACUUGAAUGCGAACUUAUCGUCAGUGGAUAAAUAGACAAUAUCUGAUUACCGCUGCUUUGCUGCUUUUCAAAACAAGUCUAUCGGAAUGGUGACCGUCAGGUCUAAAAACGGUUCUACACGGUCUCAUAAAACCACGACAACCAACGAAACCGUGCAUAAUGUGUAAGCGGCUUCACGGCGACCGACGAAUAUAUAGAUAUUAAGAAUAUGAUAGUAUUAGCUGGUGUAUUGUUAUUUUUAUUAUUAUUGUAAUUUCUUUUUCUUCGAUACCCGCGGUGAACGUCAUGAUAACCUGUAAUGAAAAACGAUCUGCGAAA
Molecule: long non-coding RNA, 1298 nt
Organism: Rhopalosiphum padi (bird cherry-oat aphid)
Lineage: Eukaryota; Metazoa; Arthropoda; Insecta; Hemiptera; Aphididae
Exons: 5
Source: RefSeq, a predicted model, not a curated record